RNAcentral lists this ribosomal RNA (884 nucleotides) under Cortinarius salor. Its description in RNAcentral is "eukaryotic LSU rRNA". It matches the Rfam family "Eukaryotic large subunit ribosomal RNA", at positions 72 to 938 of the family's 3401-position model. Lineage: Eukaryota; Fungi; Basidiomycota; Agaricomycetes; Agaricales; Cortinariaceae. The record is from RNAcentral.
GGAUUCCCCUAGUAACUGCGAGUGAAGCGGGAAAAGCUCAAAUUUAAAAUCUGUCAGUCUUUUUGGCUGUCCGAGUUGUAAUCUAGAGAAGUGUUAUCCGCGCUGGACCGUGUACAAGUCUCCUGGAAUGGAGCGUCAUAGAGGGUGAGAAUCCCGUCUUUGACACGGACUACCAGGGCUUUGUGAUGCRCUCUCAAAGAGUCGAGUUGUUUGGGAAUGCAGCUCAAAAUGGGUGGUAAAUUCCAUCUAAAGCUAAAUAUUGGCGAGAGACCGAUAGCGAACAAGUACCGUGAGGGAAAGAUGAAAAGAACUUUGGAAAGAGAGUUAAACAGUACGUGAAAUUGCUGAAAGGGAAACGCUUGAAGUCAGUCGCGUCGUCCAGGGAUCAACCUUGCUUUUGCCUGGUGUACUUUCUGGUUUGACGGGUCAGCAUCAAUUUUGAUUAUUGGAAAAAGAUCAAGGGAAUGUGGCAUCUUUGGAUGUGUUAUAGCCCUUGAUUGCAUACAAUAGUUGGGAUUGAGGAACUCAGCACGCCGCAAGGCCGGGUUUUAUAACCACGUACGUGCUUAGGAUGCUGGCAUAAUGGCUUUAAUCGACCCGUCUUGAAACACGGACCAAGGAGUCUAACAUGCCUGCGAGUGUUUGGGUGGAAAACCCGAGCGCGUAAUGAAAGUGAAAGUUGAGAUCCCUGUCGUGGGGAGCAUUGACGCCCGGACCAGACCUUUUGUGACGGCUCCGCGGUAGAGCAUGUAUGUUGGGACCCGAAAGAUGGUGAACUAUGCCUGAAUAGGGUGAAGCCAGAGGAAACUCUGGUGGAGGCUCGUAGCGAUUCUGACGUGCAAAUCGAUCGUCAAAUUUGGGUAUAGGGGCGAAAGACUAAUCGA